Molecule: long non-coding RNA, 493 nt
Organism: Hyaena hyaena (striped hyena)
Lineage: Eukaryota; Metazoa; Chordata; Mammalia; Carnivora; Hyaenidae
Exons: 3
Source: RefSeq, a predicted model, not a curated record
GUCGCCAGUGGCGGGGUAUAGGCUGCCUGCUGCCCUUGGUCAGUGCGCCCGUUGACGUGUGUGGACAACCAGCAAGGCCACAGCGUGGGGACUGUAGUUCUUAGGGUACUUAGCAGGUGCCAUAUUUACAGUAAGGAGAGGCACUGCCCAGGACCAGGACUUCGUUGAACAAAAGCUCAAAUCAUAAAAUAAUCAGGACCACAAUGGGUUCUGGUCUCAGAAGAUGGAGGUCAUGGACCACCAGCGUAAGUAUGGUUCUUCGAAUGUCAUAGCAGCUGCUUAACAUCUGGGAAAUUGCCAGUCUCUGUAAGGGAGGGAAAGAGAGAGUGAGCAUGGAAAAUGGUGAACUGAUCCUUAGAAGUUCCACCUAAGAAUGAUAUGUAUCACAUCAACUCCUUUCAAAGCCAAAGGCAAGUCAUCUAACUCAAGGGGGCCAGUAGUUGAAUCCACUAUUUGCCUGAAAUGAGAAAUAAAAAAAUUUUUGUGAAGAGUU